Aegilops tauschii subsp. strangulata is the source of this 2401-nucleotide non-coding RNA. NCBI's taxonomy places the organism in Eukaryota, Viridiplantae, Streptophyta, Magnoliopsida, Poales, Poaceae. The record is from RefSeq and is a predicted model, not a curated record.
AUCUUUGAGAAAAGAAUUGCUGGUUCAGAUAGAUGGAAGUUCUGUCUUGCAACAUCAGUUGAUGUGCCUGCUAGGUGAAAAAGAGUGGGUAAAUGAUGAUGUAAGUACCCUUACUCAAACAGGAAAAAGUUUCUAAUCAGUAAUAUCAGUUAGUAAUGUAUUUUUAAAUUCUUAAUUAUAGGUGAUCAAUGCAUAUGUAUGUUGUAUAAAGGACCAAAUACAUCUCCAGAAUGAUAAUAAAGUAUAUUUUGAGAGUCCAUUUGUUACCUCACUAUUUAAACGAGAUGGCACCCUUGGAAUACAAGAAGAUAGUGCCUUCAUGACAGAGACUGUCCUCGAAUAUAUGCAGCAUGACAUGAUUAAACUUCCAAUAAAUGCCAGCAACACACAUUGGUAUCUAGCUGUUGUGAAUACAAAAAAAUGUGAAGUUCAAGUACUAGACUCAUUAUGCUGGAAUUCUGACAGAGAUGAUCUCGCUAAUACGCUACGAGGAAUACAAUUUCAUUUGGACCUUCUUAAAAGUCAAAAUUUGGUAAGCGACGAUUGGAAAGACAUUGAUCUUACUGAAUGGAAGAUCAUAGAACAAUUACAAAAGGCAAUUCAAAAAGAUAGUUCUUCAUGUGGUUUAUUUAUGGUUAAAUUUAUGGAAUAUUUCACCGGAUGUGCACUAUCCUACCCAAUUACACAGGUAUAUAUCCUUUUUUGUUUUUUAAUAAUAAAGGGUAUUUGGUUUUCUUUUUAAUUUACUAAUAAUUGUUCGUGUUGCACAUGAAAUGAUUACUUCUUUCAGGUUUAAGUUAGCUAGCAUACUAUUAUGUUGGAAAACAAACACUGCAGCAAUGACUACAAUCGUUGAAAAAGUGACGAUGACACCAAGGGAGAUCCUGAUGAUGUUCAAAUAUUGGAAAGUUUAGAUGAUUUUAAAAAAACAAAACAAAAAUUACCAUUAUAUGUUGAAAAUAAAUACAGAUCACUAAUAUCAGUUCUUUCUAAUAUGACCUUACAUGAGUUAACAGCUGGACUCUGUAGCUUCAUUAAAUCAAUCAAUUACAUCGAGAUUUUAGAGUAAGUCAUUUUAAAUUAGUAUUGCAAUUGUAAAGUAUGUUACUUGUUUUCUUAAUGGUUUAUUUUCUUACUUUGUAUCAUGAUCAGGAAAGUAUGGAUCCAUAGUUCAAAACCAUAUCCAAUUAGCUUGUCUCUAAAAAAACUACAAGGAAUGCUAAAGGAUGAUUUACCCAUGGACCGAGAUUGCUUUAAUUUGAUCCUACGGAAGAUUAUGUUGGAUGACAUCGAAACGACACAAAAAAAAGCAAUUGAUAGCAAAGCAUUAUCUGGACAUGAAAUUUUGGGUAUGUUUUUAUAUUCAUUAUAUACUUUUUAUAUAAUGAUUUUUUAUCAUUUUUUAACCAAUUAUUUUAUAUAUUAGAUGACUACUGAUUAUGGAAGGCACCCAGAUUACCGUAAAAAGUUAGAUGUGGAGCAACUAGCAAAUUCUGUUCGUAGUUGGUCUGGUAUCAAUGUUUCAACAUUUAAAUCGGUAAGAGCACUUUUAUAUACUUUAUAGGAAAAAAAAUAUUGCAUCUAAUAUGUAGCCUAUUUCAGAUCCAUAUUCCAGUACAAACCAUGGAUGAAUUCAUUCUAUUCACAUUGGACCAAGAUACCAGAACAGUGUACAUUUUGGACCCUACUCCUAUUAAUCCAAUGUACCGAUACAACCCACUCGCAAAAUAUAUGAAAAAAAUUAUAUGGAUUUCCGAACACUUACAAAAAGCAAUGUCAAAAGCAUGCCCUGGGUCUAGAUGGAACGAGGAUAUUCGCCUAUGGCAACAUAAAAUCCUAGAUGAUAUUCCAGUUUACAACAGGUAUUUUUCAUAAGAUGAAUACUAGAUACUGAUUAUUUGUUGAUUUGAGUAUGUAGAAAAUAUUAAUAAAGUGUAUUUAUAUUCCUAUAUAAGGGAAUUGUCUGGUUAUCUUGUUCCCCUAUUCAUGUCCACAUGGGAAGACGAAAGACCACAUUUGCCAUUUUUAAAGGAUGGAUAUGAACUCAGAAAACUAAUUUUGGGCCAAGUGCUAACAUUCAAGGAUAAUGAAUGUGAAGAUAACAUGCCUGCUGGUGUACUGGAAUUCAUCAAUUGUAUUAGGAAAAUCCAAAGUAAAACUGGGAGCUCAAUCAGUGGAAGGUGAUUUGCCAGAGAGAUUUCUUGCAGCCAACGGUUAAUAGGGAAUGAGCAGGGAGACAAUGAGCAUGUAGAGCUGGAUUUUUUUACCUUUGAGAAAUUAAUACUGGAUUUUGGUUUGUACUUAAAAUAUCACUUAUAUAUAUGUAGUAAACUUUUGGAGCUUGCCAUGAUAUACAUUUUUUAGGACUGCCAAUUAUAAGAGAUGAUGGAUUGCUUUCAAA